UUUGUGGAGAGUUUGAUCCUGGCUCAGGACGAACGCUGGCGGCGUGCUUAACACAUGCAAGUCGAACGGAAAGGCCAGUGCUUGCACUGGUACUCGAGUGGCGAACGGGUGAGUAACACGUGGGU
Molecule: ribosomal RNA, 125 nt
Filed under: Corynebacterium aurimucosum
Lineage: Bacteria; Bacillati; Actinomycetota; Actinomycetes; Mycobacteriales; Corynebacteriaceae
Description: partial 16S ribosomal RNA
Rfam family: Bacterial small subunit ribosomal RNA
Source: RNAcentral